UACAGAGGUCUCAAGCGUUGUUCGGAUUCAUUGGGCGUAAAGAGCGUGUAGGCGGCUCGGUAAGUCCGCUGUGAAAGUCCAGGGCUCAACCCUGGAAUGCCGGUGGAAACUGUCGGGCUAGAGUCCGGAAGAGGCGAGUGGAAUUCCUGGUGUAGCGGUGAAAUGCGCAGAUAUCAGGAGGAACACCAAUGGCGAAGGCAGCUCGCUGGGACGGUACUGACGCUGAGACGCGAAAGCGUGGGGAGCAAACAG
Molecule: ribosomal RNA, 252 nt
Filed under: uncultured bacterium
Lineage: Bacteria
Description: partial 16S ribosomal RNA
Rfam family: Bacterial small subunit ribosomal RNA
Source: RNAcentral